This 59-nucleotide microRNA precursor is filed under the name Triops cancriformis. RNAcentral describes it as "microRNA tcf-mir-12 precursor". Its record names the gene tcf-mir-12. Lineage: Eukaryota; Metazoa; Arthropoda; Branchiopoda; Notostraca; Triopsidae. The record is from miRBase by way of RNAcentral.
UGAGUAUUACAUCAGGUACUGGUUGAACUUGGGACACCAGUACUUCUGUAACACUCUCC